UUUUUAGUAUAAGUACGUCCCAUGAAAUAUUGGGGACACACUUAUACUAAAA
RNAcentral lists this microRNA precursor (52 nucleotides) under Equus caballus (horse). RNAcentral describes it as "mir-1302 microRNA precursor family". It matches the Rfam family "mir-1302 microRNA precursor family". The record is from Rfam by way of RNAcentral. Lineage: Eukaryota; Metazoa; Chordata; Mammalia; Perissodactyla; Equidae.